Long non-coding RNA from Tympanuchus pallidicinctus (lesser prairie-chicken), 1104 nucleotides. RefSeq lists it as uncharacterized. Lineage: Eukaryota; Metazoa; Chordata; Aves; Galliformes; Phasianidae. The transcript is spliced from 3 exons. The record is from RefSeq and is a predicted model, not a curated record.
CUCAUCUGGAGAUUCCCUCUUCUGGUGUUUGCUGUAGGUGAGCCUGGCAUAUGGGUAAAUUUUCAGAAUUUCAUCCAAAGCUUGCAUCCCCUGUGAAAUUGUCCUUGACGAAAAGACUUACAUUAACUGUGAUCAGAAUGUACCAGCUUUUGAAAGAAUUCUCCAUCAUCUUCAGGCUGAAACACUAAUGUGAUAUUUACAGCUUAUAAUCUACUUCUGCAUGAACAGACAGACCAAGGGACAUAUUUUGAAACAGUCUCCCAGUGAGUGAAAUCUUCACACAGGAGGGGUUAUAGGUCAUUUGACAUUAGGCCAGAUUAUCUUCUUUCCUUCCUAGUGAAACCCAGAUAUUGUAAUAUGCUUCUGGAAAUCCUCUAUUAAGAAGUGCCUGAAAGGCAAAGACUGAGGUGAGCAUCACACAGUGCCCAUUCAUUACUUAGUAGCUGCUGGUUUUAAUGCAGGCAACUAGUGCAGGACUGGAUUUCACAAGAACAUCUCAUCACUACAGACAGUUAAUGUAAUACAAAAGUCCACUGGAGUACAAUAGUCUCCUACUUCUUUUCUCUAGUAUUUAUUGUUACUGCUCUUUUUAUUUGUAACCUAUUUAUAACUAGGUUGCAUUGUUAUUGGUGGUUACCAUCAGUCCCUCUUCUCAAUAUGUAUUCUUAAAAUAAAAAAAAUCAAUGAAAGAAGCCAAAUCUUUAUUAAGAAGUAAACUUAUUUUUAAAACUUUGGGUAUCAUUUGUCACUGUUAGAAUCUAUAUUCUUCAUAUUGUUUAAAGUAUUUCAUUUGCAUCACUUCAGCUAAUUAUAUGCUUGGAUAAAUGGUUUUCAUUAUGAAUUACUGUUCAAGUUCUGUGAAUGAUGAUUAAUUUCUUUUUCUUUCAAGCAAGUAAUCAUGCUUCAUUCAUUGUAUCUGAAUGUUUAUAAUCUCUUUUCAAAAACAUGUGGGUGCCUGUAUUGUUACAGAGAUGCCAUUACUCAGACUGCGGUAUAUUUAUGCUUGAGAAUGACAUCAAUACUCCAGUGGCUUAAGAUUUCCCAGUACUAAUAAACUUGUAAGCAAGAUAACUGAACUUCUGAAAUACAGUGGAAAGUAUCUUU